UGAAUAAUGGGGCUUCUUUUUCCCCAAAAUGGCCGCCUCUGUUAGCUAGCCUGUCACGUUGUAACCAGACCGGUUGCGAUGGUCGCCUUUAUUUAUCGUUGACGCCAGCAGACAUCUGCUGAAGACAAACCGCAACGUGUCCUCGAAAGGACGGCGGUGGCGGUCCAACGGGGGCCCGAGUGUCCGCUCGGAUGGUUUUCUCCCCGGCGAUGAUGGGAACGACCGGAAGACAGAGGAGAGGCUUCACGCUCGCUCUCGUCUGGCGUCGGAGAAUGUCGACGCCAGCUUGUUUGCUUGUUGCCUUCAGUCUGCUCCACGCUGGCCGCCAUGUCGGGACGUGCUCAGACGUCUGAUGGGUGCCGCCGUCUCACACCGCACACUUCCUCCCGCCUUGUCUUCACAUGGUCGCUGGUGUUGACACAAAAUGGCGGGGACACUUCGACAGGCACAGAAGGAGCAGGUUUUUUGUUCCUAAAAAGAAGACACAGUAGAAUAAAAGACAAGCACGAGGAUCUUGAAAAUAAUUUCCAUACAUUCAAUGUCUAGUUUAAAUUAUUAUUAUUAUUAUUUUUUACCUUUCAGAGCAGAUAAGUCAUACCCGUUUUUAUCGCUAGAUGGCAGUGUUGACGAACAUCACCGGAUGAACGACGGCAAUAUGCUUCUUUAAAGCAGUCGAGCGAGCUGCAUUAAUGUACGCCGACACCAACAUCUUUAGGGUGCAGUUCACUAGUCAUCCUGCAGAGGACACUCUUUACCCGCUUUGCAUGGCGCUCCACAUAAGACCCACCCGUGCGGAUUAUUGCAAAGUGGUUCGGUUCUGGUGCUUCUCCCGGGGCCCACUAAAUAAAUCACAGAAGAAGAAGAGGAGGAGGAAGAGGAAGCAGUGAGGAGGAAGAAGAACAAAGCUGGACUUGACUGCGCGGAGGGCGAGCAGCCAAAGUGGAUUUGGGCCUGAUGAAGAAGAUGAUGAUGAUGAUGGUGGUGGAAGAUGAUGGAACAUGGUGAGGAUAAGCGGCAUAGAAAACGGAUGGAUGAUGGAUUCGGUUUUCGGACGGCCAUGUCGGCUUAGUCAACGAAGGUAAGCUAGCAAAUGUGUUUUGUCCAUUCCAAACCAUCAGCGUGGGUC
Doryrhamphus excisus (bluestripe pipefish) is the source of this 1126-nucleotide long non-coding RNA. RefSeq lists it as uncharacterized. Lineage: Eukaryota; Metazoa; Chordata; Actinopteri; Syngnathiformes; Syngnathidae. The record is from RefSeq and is a predicted model, not a curated record.